UCGCGGCCUAUCAGCUUGUUGGUGAGGUAAUGGCUCACCAAGGCGUCGACGGGUAGCCGGCCUGAGAGGGUGACCGGCCACACUGGGACUGAGACACGGCCCAGACUCCUACGGGAGGCAGCAGUGGGGAAUAUUGCACAAUGGGCGCAAGCCUGAUGCAGCAACGCCGCGUGAGGGACGACGGCCUUCGGGUUGUAAACCUCUUUUAGCAGGGAAGAAGCGAAAGUGACGGUACCUGCAGAAAAAGCGCCGGCUAACUACGUGCCAGCAGCCGCGGUAAUACGUAGGGCGCAAGCGUUAUCCGGAAUUAUUGGGCGUAAAGAGCUCGUAGGCGGUUUGUCGCGUCUGCUGUGAAAUCCGGAGGCUCAACCUCCGGCCUGCAGUGGGUACGGGCAGACUAGAGUGCGGUAGGGGAGAUUGGAAUUCCUGGUGUAGCGGUGGAAUGCGCAGAUAUCAGGAGGAACACCGAUGGCGAAGGCAGAUCUCUGGGCCGUAACUGACGCUGAGGAGCGAAAGGGUGGGGAGCAAACAGGCUUAGAUACCCUGGUAGUCCACCCCGUAAACGUUGGGAACUAGUUGUGGGGUCCAUUCCACGGAUUCCGUGACGCAGCUAACGCAUUAAGUUCCCCGCCUGGGGAGUACGGCCGCAAGGCUAAAACUCAAAGGAAUUGACGGGGACCCGCACAAGCGGCGGAGCAUGCGGAUUAAUUCGAUGCAACGCGAAGAACCUUACCAAGGCUUGACAUAUACGAGAACGGGCCAGAAAUGGUCAACUCUUUGGACACUCGUAAACAGGUGGUGCAUGGUUGUCGUCAGCUCGUGUCGUGAGAUGUUGGGUUAAGUCCCGCAACGAGCGCAACCCUCGUUCUAUGUUGCCAGCACGUUAUGGUGGGAACUCAUGGGAUACUGCCGGGGUCAACUCGGAGGAAGGUGGGGAUGACGUCAAAUCAUCAUGCCCCUUAUGUCUUGGGCUUCACGCAUGCUACAAUGGCCGGUACAAAGGGCUGCAAUACCGUGAGGUGGAGCGAAUCCCAAAAAGCCGGUCCCAGUUCGGAUUGAGGUCUGCAACUCGACCUCAUGAAGUCGGAGUCGCUAGUAAUCGCAGAUCAGCAACGCUGCGGUGAAUACGUUCCCGGGUCUUGUACACACCGCCCGUCAAGUCAUGAAAGUCGGUAACACCUGAAGCCGGUGGCCUAACCCUUGUGGAGGGAGCCGUCGAAGGUGGGGCUGG
RNAcentral lists this ribosomal RNA (1231 nucleotides) under uncultured Actinomycetes bacterium. Its description in RNAcentral is "bacterial SSU rRNA". It matches the Rfam family "Bacterial small subunit ribosomal RNA", at positions 231 to 1471 of the family's 1533-position model. The record is from RNAcentral. Lineage: Bacteria; Bacillati; Actinomycetota; Actinomycetes.